Molecule: ribosomal RNA, 444 nt
Filed under: uncultured Treponema clone CFS149p
Lineage: Bacteria; Pseudomonadati; Spirochaetota; Spirochaetia; Treponematales; Treponemataceae
Description: bacterial SSU rRNA
Rfam family: Bacterial small subunit ribosomal RNA
Source: RNAcentral
GAGCGGCAAGAAGUAGCAAUANUUCNUAGAGCGGCGGAUUGGUGAGUAACGCGUGGGUAACCUGCCUUGAGGAUUGGGAUAGCCGUUAGAAAUAGCGGGUAAUACCGAAUACGUUCAGUUUGUUACGGCAGAUUGAGCAAAGGAGCCACGGCUCCGCCUUGAGAUGGGCCCGCGUCCUAUUAGGUAGUUGGCGGGGUAAGAGCCCACCAAGCCUAUGAUAGGUAGCCGGCCUGAGAGGGCGAACGGCCACACUGGGACUGAGAUGCGGCCCAGANUNCCUACGGGAGGCAGCAGCUAAGAAUAUUCCGCAAUGGGCGAAAGCCUGACGGAGCGACGCCGCGUGGGCGAGGAAGGCCGAAAGGUUGUAAAGCCCUUUUGCGGAUGAAGAAUAAGGCUGGGAGGGAAUGCCCGGCGGAUGACGAUAGNCCGUGAAUGGGCCCCGGC